RNAcentral lists this ribosomal RNA (450 nucleotides) under uncultured bacterium. RNAcentral's name for it is "partial 16S ribosomal RNA". It matches the Rfam family "Bacterial small subunit ribosomal RNA", at positions 29 to 523 of the family's 1533-position model. The record is from RNAcentral.
AGCGAACAUUGGCGGUAGGCUUAACACAUGCAAGUCGAGCGAGGCGUAAUAGUCGAGCGGCGAACGGGUGAGUAAUACAUGGGAAUCUACCUCGAAGUGGGGGAUAACAGCCAGAAAUGGCGGCUAAUCCGGCAUAAUCCGGGAACGGGAAAGCGCGCUGCGCUUUGAGAUGAGCCCAUGGCUGAUUAGCAAGUUGGUGGGGUAAAGGCCUACCAAGGCGACGAUCAGUAGCUGGUCUGAGAGGAUGAUCAGCCACACUGGAACUGAGACACGGUCCAGACUCCUACGGGAGGCAGCAGUGGGGAAUCUUGCGCAAUGGGGGCAACCCUGACGCAGCCAUACCGCGUGUGCGAUGAAGGUCUUCGGAUUGUAAAGCACUUUCAGUAGGGACGACGAUGACGGUACCUACAGAAGAAGUCACGGCUAACUUCGUGCCAGCCGCCGCCGUAA